UCUUAACUGGGCGUUAAGUUGCAGGGUAUAGACCCGAAACCCGGUGAUCUAGCCAUGGGCAGGUUGAAGGUUGGGUAACACUAACUGGAGGACCGAACCGACUAAUGUUGAAAAAUUAGCGGAUGACUUGUGGCUGGGGGUGAAAGGCCAAUCAAACCGGGAGAUAGCUGGUUCUCCCCGAAAGCUAUUUAGGUAGCGCCUCGUGAAUUCAUCUCCGGGGGUAGAGCACUGUUUCGGCAAGGGGGUCAUCCCGACUUACCAACCCGAUGCAAACUGCGAAUACCGGAGAAUGUUAUCACGGGAGACACACGGCGGGUGCUAACGUCCGUCGUGAAGAGGGAAACAACCCAGACCGCCAGCUAAGGUCCCAAAGUCAUGGUUAAGUGGGAAACGAUGUGGGAAGGCCCAGACAGCCAGGAUGUUGGCUUAGAAGCAGCCAUCAUUUAAAGAAAGCGUAAUAGCUCACUGGUCGAGUCGGCCUGCGCGGAAGAUGUAACGGGGCUAAACCAUGCACCGAAGCUGCGGCAGCGACGCUUAUGCGUUGUUGGGUAGGGGAGCGUUCUGUAAGCCUGUGAAGGUGGCCUGUGAGGGUUGCUGGAGGUAUCAGAAGUGCGAAUGCUGACAUAAGUAACGAUAAAGCGGGUGAAAAGCCCGCUCGCCGGAAGACCAAGGGUUCCUGUCCAACGUUAAUCGGGGCAGGGUGAGUCGACCCCUAAGGCGAGGCCGAAAGGCGUAGUCGAUGGGAAACAGGUUAAUAUUCCUGUACUUGGUGUUACUGCGAAGGGGGGACGGAGAAGGCUAUGUUGGCCGGGCGACGGUUGUCCCGGUUUAAGCGUGUAGGCUGGUUUUCCAGGCAAAUCCGGAAAAUCAAGGCUGAGGCGUGAUGACGAGGCACUACGGUGCUGAAGCGACAAAUGCCCUGCUUCCAGGAAAAGCCUCUAAGCAUCAGGUAACAUUAAAUCGUACCCCAAACCGACACAGGUGGUCAGGUAGAGAAUACCAAGGCGCUUGAGAGAACUCGGGUGAAGGAACUAGGCAAAAUGGUGCCGUAACUUCGGGAGAAGGCACGCUGAUAUGUAGGUGAAGCGACUUGCUCGUGGAGCUGAAAUCAGUCGAAGAUACCAGCUGGCUGCAACUGUUUAUUAAAAACACAGCACUGUGCAAACACGAAAGUGGACGUAUACGGUGUGACGCCUGCCCGGUGCCGGAAGGUUAAUUGAUGGGGUUAGCGGUAACGCGAAGCUCUUGAUCGAAGCCCCGGUAAACGGCGGCCGUAACUAUAACGGUCCUAAGGUAGCGAAAUUCCUUGUCGGGUAAGUUCCGACCUGCACGAAUGGCGUAAUGAUGGCCAGGCUGUCUCCACCCGAGACUCAGUGAAAUUGAACUCGCUGUGAAGAUGCAGUGUACCCGCGGCAAGACGGAAAGACCCCGUGAACCUUUACUAUAGCUUGACACUGAACAUUGAGCCUUGAUGUGUAGGAUAGGUGGGAGGCUUUGAAGUGUGGACGCCAGUCUGCAUGGAGCCGACCUUGAAAUACCACCCUUUAAUGUUUGAUGUUCUAACGUGGGCCCCUUACCGGGGUUGCGGACAGUGUCUGGUGGGUAGUUUGACUGGGGCGGUCUCCUCCUAAAGAGUAACGGAGGAGCACGAAGGUUGGCUAAUCCUGGUCGGACAUCAGGAGGUUAGUGCAAUGGCAUAAGCCAGCUUGACUGCGAGCGUGACGGCGCGAGCAGGUGCGAAAGCAGGUCAUAGUGAUCCGGUGGUUCUGAAUGGAAGGGCCAUCGCUCAACGGAUAAAAGGUACUCCGGGGAUAACAGGCUGAUACCGCCCAAGAGUUCAUAUCGACGGCGGUGUUUGGCACCUCGAUGUCGGCUCAUCACAUCCUGGGGCUGAAGUAGGUCCCAAGGGUAUGGCUGUUCGCCAUUUAAAGUGGUACGCGAGCUGGGUUUAGAACGUCGUGAGACAGUUCGGUCCCUAUCUGCCGUGGGCGCUGGAGAACUGAGGGGGGCUGCUCCUAGUACGAGAGGACCGGAGUGGACGCAUCACUGGUGUUCGGGUUGUCAUGCCAAUGGCACUGCCCGGUAGCUAAAUGCGGAAGAGAUAAGUGCUGAAAGCAUCUAAGCACGAAACUUGCCCCGAGAUGAGUUCUCCCUGA
RNAcentral lists this ribosomal RNA (2156 nucleotides) under Escherichia coli. RNAcentral describes it as "partial 23S ribosomal RNA". It matches the Rfam family "Bacterial large subunit ribosomal RNA", at positions 682 to 2818 of the family's 2925-position model. The record is from RNAcentral. Lineage: Bacteria; Pseudomonadati; Pseudomonadota; Gammaproteobacteria; Enterobacterales; Enterobacteriaceae.